AAUGAACGUUGGCGGCGUGGAUUAGGCAUGCAAGUCGAGCGAUCGUAGCAAUACGGGAGCGGCAAACGGGGUAGGAAUACCUCGGAACAUACCCUCAGGUCGGGGAUAGCGGCGGGAAACUGCCGGUAAUACCCGAUGAUCUCGAGAGAGCAAAGGUUUACUGCCUGGGGAGUGGCCGAGGCGAUAUUAGCUAGUUGGUGAGGUAAUGGCUCACCAAGGCAUAGAUGUCUAGGGGGCGUGAGAGCGCGACCCCCACCACUGGGACUGAGAAACUGCCCAGACACCUACGGGUGGCUGCAGUCGAGAAUCUUCGUCAAUGGGGGAAACCCUGAACGAGCGACGCCGCGUGUGGGAUGAAGGCCUUUGGGUUGUAAACCACUGUCAGGGGGGAUGAAACCGCAAGGUUGACAGAGCCCCAGAGGAAGCACGGGCUAAGUUCGUGCCAGCCGCCGCCGUAAGAC
This 461-nucleotide ribosomal RNA is filed under the name uncultured bacterium. RNAcentral describes it as "bacterial SSU rRNA". It matches the Rfam family "Bacterial small subunit ribosomal RNA", at positions 29 to 526 of the family's 1533-position model. The record is from RNAcentral.